GCAAAUGUCCUAUUUAGGACGAACGCCUUCUGAUUUUUUGUGAUGAACAAAAACCCUGUCAAGUUUCUUAUUGUUCCCUUGAUGGCCCUCAUUAACCCUCUAAGAAGAGCAUCACUUCCCAGUAUAUAUGGUGAACUGAGCUAAAAUAAAAUUCAAGGUUCAAGUGUUUCUGGUUGGUGACAAAAAAAUGUUAAAGUAGUUUUGGCUAGUUUGUCAUGUAUGAAUGUUGACUACCUUAACAUUAUUACUAGGCAAACUAUCGUUUUGAAAGAUUAUUAAGCAAGGUAAAUUGGUGCUGCUUCUAUGACAGGUUUGGUUGGUCUAUAUAAUGAUCUAGGCUUACUUUGGGACUUCAAUUCAAUCAAUUGUAUCAAUGACCUUUUGCAUUAAAGGACAAUUUUUUGUCUGUCUGUGAAACAAGCUGGGACGAGGAGCUCAAGAAUUUGCUAAUUAGUUUGUAUCCCGUUUGAUCCUAUUGUUGUCAUGGAAUUGCUUUAUCACAUGACUGAUUUGGGUGUGGCUAAGUGGGCCGAGGAACUUCAAAUUCCAUACUUGAGACCGAUCAAAAUAAAGAAAAGGGAUUUUGCAAAGGAAGCAUCAGCAACAGCUGAGGACCAUCUUGCAUGCCAAACUUAAAGACACUUUGGGGCUGACUGGAGUGUCCCAAGGAAGUUUUGAUGCUUCUAAAUAUUCAAAUACUUGAUCUGAUCUCAACAUCACAUCCCUAAAUGAUUGUAAAUUUGUUCGACGCGGUUGCAUUCUAAUGAUAUCACUUCGGAAUUGAUGAGGCUCUGUAGAGGGAGGUAUGCACUGCUAGGCUCCUCCAUUUCUAUUAGUUUAUUUGUGUGAUGAUAUCCUUUGAAUGUUGUCAUAUAGGUUUCUGAUUUGAUAAGCUCAGUUAUGAUGUAUGCGGCAUUGGAUUUGUAAAGUUGAAAUUGACCUCCUCACAAACUCUCCCGCAUUGCUAAUUUUGCUAAUUGGAACUUGCAAAAUAACCCAGUAGCAAAUGCAUCUUUCUGUUCUGUAGUUUAGGCACUUCACCUUUUCAGCAUUAUUUUUUUAGCUUCAAUUUUGUUCCUAAACACAAACAGGGAAAGUGUUUCUAAAUGUUUACUUCUUUAAAGUCUGUUGGUUUCUUUGUCAUUGGCCAUCUAAUGAAGUCUCUGUUCAUUGUGGUCCAACUCCGAUUGGUGUCAAUGUUUACGCAUUUUUACCUUAUCUGUCAUGGGGUAAAUUCUGAUGCUAUGAUCUUGGAUAUCUUCAUUUAAUUAUAAUUAGUUAGUGCUAUCUUCCUUAUGCAGAUUAAAGCUGCAUUUGAUGAAACUCGGAGAAACUCCCCAAACACCAUGGGUUGGAGAUACGGGCAAGAAUGAGCUAUGUCAGUAUGGAAAGGCAUUCCAAAGUUAUUUGCAAUUGGCAUUUAUCAUUUGCUCCAUGUUGUUAAUACUCUUCGAAGGAUUCUUGAUAAAGGCGACCUCUUCUCA
Eucalyptus grandis is the source of this 1484-nucleotide long non-coding RNA. RefSeq lists it as uncharacterized. NCBI's taxonomy places the organism in Eukaryota, Viridiplantae, Streptophyta, Magnoliopsida, Myrtales, Myrtaceae. The record is from RefSeq and is a predicted model, not a curated record. The transcript has 2 exons.